This 397-nucleotide ribosomal RNA is filed under the name Ophiocordyceps liangshanensis. RNAcentral's name for it is "Papiliomyces liangshanensis partial small subunit ribosomal RNA". It matches the Rfam family "Eukaryotic small subunit ribosomal RNA", at positions 30 to 432 of the family's 1831-position model. Lineage: Eukaryota; Fungi; Ascomycota; Sordariomycetes; Hypocreales; Ophiocordycipitaceae. The record is from RNAcentral.
GCUUGUCUCAAAGAUUAAGCCAUGCAUGUCUAAGUACAAGCCUCAGUAAGGUGAAACCGCGAAUGGCUCAUUAAAUCACACCUAAUCUACUGGAAAGUUACUAGUUACUUGGAUAACUGAGGUAAUUCUUGAGCUAAUACAUGCUAAAAAUCCCGACUUCGGAAGGGAUGUAUUUAUUAGAUUAAAAACCAAUGCCCUCUGGGCUCUCUGGUGAUUCAUGAUAACUUCUCGAAUCGCAUGGCCUUGCGCCGGCGAUGGUUCAUUCAAAUUUCUUCCCUAUCAACUUUCGAUGUUUGGGUAGUGGCCAAACAUGGUUGCAACGGGUAACGGAGGGUUAGGGCUCGACCCCGGAGAAGGAGCCUGAGAAACGGCUACUACAUCCAAGGAAGGCAGCAGG